UAACAGUACAUUACAUCGAUGGGAAGCUGGU
This 31-nucleotide non-coding RNA is filed under the name Rattus norvegicus (Norway rat). Lineage: Eukaryota; Metazoa; Chordata; Mammalia; Rodentia; Muridae. The record is from RNAcentral.